RNAcentral lists this long non-coding RNA (614 nucleotides) under Crocodylus porosus (Australian saltwater crocodile). RNAcentral describes it as "lncRNA (ENSCPRG00005011971.1)". Lineage: Eukaryota; Metazoa; Chordata; Crocodylia; Crocodylidae. The record is from RNAcentral.
UUUGUUUUACCCAAGACACGCUUUAAAGGGAAUUUCCACAGUAUGAAUCAUAAACUACUUUUCCUGGCACUUAUGACACAGUUAUUAGCCAUAAUGAAACAAAACCACUUCUUAGCUUAUCCAUUGUCUCAGCUAUCCAGACUACUUGCUCAGACUCCAGACUUACCAUUUUCAAAUCCAGUUUCCAGAUUUUGGUGUCCAGGUCUAUACAAAAACAGUAGAGCUUAUCCUGGUACCUAUGAGUUUUACCGCUGAGCUUGGCAUCUUGCCCUUCCUGAACAGUGUUGUGAAUUUUUACAGAACAACAAGGAAGUUUUUUUACCUCCCUGCCUGCCAUCUGAUACCUCCAGGGAAGGAAUUGUACUUGAUCAACACAUCAAAGAGCUACUCAACACAGCUCACACACUGUCAUGGACCCAGAGGGACAGCCUUCCAUCUUCAGCUUCCUCUGUGAAAAAUGAAGUUUAUUUCCUACCUGUGGGGACUUUUUACCAUCUUAUACCAUCUACACUUUCCCCAGAGCCUGGUGAAGGGACUUUGAUCCCAAAAGCUUGCAGAAAAGGACAACUUGCCACUUUCCAGUUGGUCUAAUAAAAGGUAUCAUUUUCAAACCA